UACGAAGGGGGCUAGCGUUGUUCGGAAUCACUGGGCGUAAAGCGCACGUAGGCGGAUCUUUAAGUCAGGGGUGAAAUCCCAAGGCUCAACCUUGGAACUGCCUUUGAUACUGGGGAUCUCGAGUCCGGAAGAGGUGAGUGGAACUGCGAGUGUAGAGGUGAAAUUCGUAGAUAUUCGCAAGAACACCAGUGGCGAAGGCGGCUCACUGGUCCGGUACUGACGCUGAGGUGCGAAAGCGUGGGGAGCAAACAGG
RNAcentral lists this ribosomal RNA (253 nucleotides) under uncultured bacterium. RNAcentral describes it as "partial 16S ribosomal RNA". It matches the Rfam family "Bacterial small subunit ribosomal RNA", at positions 524 to 776 of the family's 1533-position model. The record is from RNAcentral.